RNAcentral lists this ribosomal RNA (274 nucleotides) under uncultured Staphylococcus sp. RNAcentral's name for it is "partial 16S ribosomal RNA". It matches the Rfam family "Bacterial small subunit ribosomal RNA", at positions 89 to 354 of the family's 1533-position model. Lineage: Bacteria; Bacillati; Bacillota; Bacilli; Caryophanales; Staphylococcaceae. The record is from RNAcentral.
ACGUUAGCGGCGGACGGGUGAGUAACACGUGGGUAACCUACCUAUAAGACUGGGAUAACUCCGGGAAACCGGGGCUAAUACCGGAUAACACAUGAAACCGCAUGGUUUCAUGAUGAAAGACGGUUUUGCUGUCACUUAUAGAUGGACCCGCGGCGUAUUAGCUAGUUGGUAAGGUAACGGCUUACCAAGGCAACGAUACGUAGCCGACCUGAGAGGGUGAUCGGCCACACUGGAAACUGAGACACGGUCCAGACUCCUACGGGAGGCAGCAGGC